This 270-nucleotide ribosomal RNA is filed under the name uncultured archaeon. RNAcentral's name for it is "partial 16S ribosomal RNA". It matches the Rfam family "Archaeal small subunit ribosomal RNA", at positions 477 to 747 of the family's 1478-position model. The record is from RNAcentral.
CUGCAGCCCGAGUGGUGAUCGAUUUUAUUGAGCCUAAAGCGUCCGUAGCCGGACUAGUAAACUCUUGGGUAAAUUGGGCAGCUUAACUGUCCAAAUUCCGAGAGGACUGCUAGUCUUGGGACCGGGAGAGGUCAGAGGUACUCCAGGGGUAGGGGCUAAAUCCUGUAAUCCUUUGGGGACCACCAGUGGCGAAGGCGUCUGACUAGAACGGAUCCGACGGUAAGGGACGAAACCCUGGGGCGCGAACCGGAUUAGAUACCCGCGUAGUCC